Molecule: unclassified non-coding RNA, 295 nt
Filed under: rhizosphere metagenome
Description: partial ribosomal RNA internal transcribed spacer region
Source: RNAcentral
GUAGGUGAACCUGCGGAAGGAUCAUUAACACUUUUCUUUUUUUUUUGAAUCUAUCCAAUUCAAAAAAAAAUUAACACCCUAACACCAAAAUCGUGAAUGUUUCUUUUCUGCUCUCCUUCUCUUUUUUUUUUCUCUCUCUCUCGAAAGAAAAAAAAAAAGAAAGAGAAAGGGAAUUAAACGCUAUUCUACCUUCCUAUUUUAACCCCAUCAACCUUUUAUUAAGCAAAAAAACUUAUUAAGUAUAGAUGUAAAAUAAACUAAAAUACAACUCUUAACAAUGGAUAUCUUGGUUCUC